Molecule: ribosomal RNA, 253 nt
Filed under: uncultured bacterium
Lineage: Bacteria
Description: partial 16S ribosomal RNA
Rfam family: Bacterial small subunit ribosomal RNA
Source: RNAcentral
UACGAAGGGGGCUAGCGUUGUUCGGAAUCACUGGGCGUAAAGCGCACGUAGGCGGACUUUUAAGUCAGGGGUGAAAGCCUGAGGCUCAACCUCAGAACUGCCCUUGAUACUGGGAGUAUUGAGUAUGGUAGAGGUUGGUGGAACAGCAAGUGUAGAGGUGAAAUUCGUAGAUAUUUGCUAGAACACCAGUGGCGAAGGCGGCCAACUGGACCAUAACUGACGCUGAGGUGCGAAAGCGUGGGGAGCAAACAGG